CACGUAUUUUUAUGUGAUUUCGGCGCUGUUUGUCUUCUAGGGCCGUGAGUUGCAGGGAGAAGUGUGAGUGAUGUUCUUGUAGUUGGUGCACUGUCUCUUUAAUAGUUUUUAUGUCUGAUCUGGCGUCAAGGAUAUCCUCCUCAGCGGUUUGCACCCGGUCUGUGAUAGUUUGUAUGUCGUUUCUCAACAGUUUUAGGUCUGCUGCCCAUAAUCUGUGUAUGUCAGCAAGCAGGUUUUUCAAGUCAUUUUUGGUGGUGGGGGCCGACCCGUCAGAGGUCUCAAUGGAGUUUAUGAGACUUGCCUGUGUGAGUAGCGUGGGUUCUUUCUCCCUCUGCGCCAGGGUGCUUGCCCCUUGAUCCUCUGUGCGGAGCGUUUUGGGUUGUGUAGGUUGCCUCAGCAUGUCUCCUAUGUCCCUGCCGUCUGCCGUGGAGUUCGGUUUUUGUGACCG
This is a non-coding RNA of Pelobates cultripes (western spadefoot toad), 448 nucleotides long. Lineage: Eukaryota; Metazoa; Chordata; Amphibia; Anura; Pelobatidae. The record is from the annotation of a GenBank genome assembly.